This 61-nucleotide transfer RNA is filed under the name Tetraselmis astigmatica. Lineage: Eukaryota; Viridiplantae; Chlorophyta; Chlorodendrophyceae; Chlorodendrales; Chlorodendraceae. The record is from RNAcentral.
UGUUAGCUCAGUUACUAGAGCAUUCGAUUCAAGAUCCCGGCAACAGGAGUUCGAAUUCUCC